Molecule: unclassified non-coding RNA, 329 nt
Organism: Panthera pardus (leopard)
Lineage: Eukaryota; Metazoa; Chordata; Mammalia; Carnivora; Felidae
Gene: 7SK
Rfam family: 7SK RNA
About the family: 7SK was discovered as an abundant small nuclear RNA in the mid-70s but a possible function has only recently been suggested.
Source: Ensembl
GGAUCUGAAGGUGAUCUGGCUGCAACAUCUGUCACCCCAUUGAUGACCAGGGUUGAUUCGGCUGAUCUGGCUGAAUAGCCAGGUGUCCCCUUCCUCCCUCACUGCUCCUUGUGCAUCCCUCCCGAAGCUGCACGCCUGGUCACACAGGAUGACUUUCCCCUAGAGGAGGACCAUUCAUUGGUCAAGGGUAUACCGGGAGCUGCGCACCCCUGCUAGAACCUCCAAACAAGGUCUCAGGGUCCAUUUGUAGGAGAACAUAGGGUAGCGAAGCUUUCAAGACUCCAGACACCUCCAAAUGCAGCACUGCAUACGACGGUCUGCCUUUCUUA